AACGAACGCUGGCGGCAUGCCUAACACAUGCAAGUCGAACGAGACCUUCGGGUCUAGUGGCGCACGGGUGCGUAACGCGUGGGAACCUGCCCUUAGGGUCGGCAUAACUCCCCGAAAGGGGUGCUAAUACCGGAUCAUGUCUUCUGACCAAAGAUUUAUCGCGUUUGGAUGGGCCCGCGUUGGAUUAGCUAGUUGUUAGGGUAAUAGCCUACCAAGGCGACGAUCCAUAGAUGGUCUGAGAGGAUGAUCAGCCACACUGGGACUGAGACACGGCCCAGACUCCUACGGGAGGGAGCAGUGGGGAAUAUUGGACAAUGGGCGAAAGCCUGAUCCAGCAAUGCCGCGUGAGUGAUGAAGGCCUUAGGGUUGUAAAGCUCUUUUAACCGGGAUGAUAAUGACAGUACCGGGAGAAUAAGCCCCGGCUAACUACGUG
Molecule: ribosomal RNA, 433 nt
Filed under: uncultured bacterium
Lineage: Bacteria
Description: partial 16S ribosomal RNA
Rfam family: Bacterial small subunit ribosomal RNA
Source: RNAcentral